RNAcentral lists this unclassified non-coding RNA (429 nucleotides) under Hevea brasiliensis (rubber tree). The record is from RNAcentral. Lineage: Eukaryota; Viridiplantae; Streptophyta; Magnoliopsida; Malpighiales; Euphorbiaceae.
UGAUAUACAUUACAUUUUCAGUCAAAUGACAUUAAACACUGAGAACCAUUUUGUACAUGGUGACAUUUAGUAUGGUAAAUGAAUGCCUUUUUCUCCCAUACAGCAUAAUCUUGUCCAGAAGUUGCCACCUGAUAACUAGGUGGGAUAAGAUUUCCAAGAUCAAGUUUUGGCCCAAUUUUGACAAUAAUUUUCUGAUCAAUCAUUGCUAUAUAAAGAUCAGAAUCAGAAGCCAAAAUCUGCACAUUGCUUGUUGCACAAAUCCCACUCCUCUUCCUAAUAGAGAUUAGUGCUGAUAUUCCAUCCUUCAAGCCCCAAUCAAAGAAAUGGUCAUAAAACACUAAUGGAAUUCCUGGAUGAGUAAGAAUGUAUGCAUAUCCUUGCAUAACUUUGUCCGAAGGGAAUGGCCACAUAUUUUGUGUCGAUCCAGUA